Molecule: ribosomal RNA, 443 nt
Filed under: uncultured bacterium
Lineage: Bacteria
Description: partial 16S ribosomal RNA
Rfam family: Bacterial small subunit ribosomal RNA
Source: RNAcentral
CCUACGGGAGGCAGCAGUGGGGGAUAUUGCACAAUGGGGGGAACCCUGAUCCAGCGACGCCGCGUGAGUGAAGAAGUAUUUCGGUAUGUAAAGCUCUAUCAGCAGGGAAGAAAGAAAUGACGGUACCUGACUAAGAAGCCCCUGCUAACUACGUGCCAGCAGCCGCGGUAAUACGUAGGCGGCAAUCGUUAUCCGUAUUUACUGGGUGUAAAGGGAGCGUAGACGGCGAUGCAAGUCUGAAGUGAAAGGCGGGGGCUCAACCCCCGGACUGCUUUGGAAACUGUAUGGCUGGAGUGCAGGAGAGGUAAGUGGAAUUCCUAGGGUAGCGGUGAAAUGCGUAGAUAUUAGGAGGAACACCAGUGGCGAAGGCGGCUUACUGGACUGUAACUGACGUUGAGGCUCGAAAGCGUGGGGAGCAAACAGGAUUAGAUACCCCAGUAGUC